GAGUGGCGUGCCUAAUACAUGCAAGUCGAGCGGACAGAUGGGAGCUUGCUCCCUGAUGUUAGCGGCGGACGGGUGAGUAACACGUGGGUAACCUGCCUGUAAGACUGGGAUAACUCCGGGAAACCGGGGCUAAUACCGGAUGCUUGUUUGAACCGCAUGGUUCAAACAUAAAAGGUGGCUUCGGCUACCACUUACAGAUGGACCCGCGGCGCAUUAGCUAGUUGGUGAGGUAAUGGCUCACCAAGGCAACGAUGCGUAGCCGACCUGAGAGGGUGAUCGGCCACACUGGGACUGAGACACGGCCCAGACUCCUACGGGAGGCAGCAGUAGGGAAUCUUCCGCAAUGGACGAAAGUCUGACGGAGCAACGCCGCGUGAGUGAUGAAGGUUUUCGGAUCGUAAAGCUCUGUUGUUAGGGAAGAACAAGUACCGUUCGAAUAGGGCGGUACCUUGACGGUACCUAACCAGAAAGCCACGGCUAACUACGUGCCAGCAGCCGCGGUAAUACGUAGGUGGCAAGCGUUGUCCGGAAUUAUUGGGCGUAAAGGGCUCGCAGGCGGUUCCUUAAGUCUGAUGUGAAAGCCCCCGGCUCAACCGGGGAGGGUCAUUGGAAACUGGGGAACUUGAGUGCAGAAGAGGAGAGUGGAAUUCCACGUGUAGCGGUGAAAUGCGUAGAGAUGUGGAGGAACACCAGUGGCGAAGGCGACUCUCUGGUCUGUAACUGACGCUGAGGAGCGAAAGCGUGGGGAGCGAACAGGAUUAGAUACCCUGGUAGUCCACGCCGUAAACGAUGAGUGCUAAGUGUUAGGGGGUUUCCGCCCCUUAGUGCUGCAGCUAACGCAUUAAGCACUCCGCCUGGGGAGUACGGUCGCAAGACUGAAACUCAAAGGAAUUGACGGGGGCCCGCACAAGCGGUGGAGCAUGUGGUUUAAUUCGAAGCAACGCGAAGAACCUUACCAGGUCUUGACAUCCUCUGACAAUCCUAGAGAUAGGACGUCCCCUUCGGGGGCAGAGUGACAGGUGGUGCAUGGUUGUCGUCAGCUCGUGUCGUGAGAUGUUGGGUUAAGUCCCGCAACGAGCGCAACCCUUGAUCUUAGUUGCCAGCAUUCAGUUGGGCACUCUAAGGUGACUGCCGGUGACAAACCGGAGGAAGGUGGGGGUGACUUCAAAUCAUCAUUGCCCUUAUGACCUGGGGUACACA
Molecule: ribosomal RNA, 1200 nt
Filed under: Bacillus subtilis
Lineage: Bacteria; Bacillati; Bacillota; Bacilli; Caryophanales; Bacillaceae
Description: bacterial SSU rRNA
Rfam family: Bacterial small subunit ribosomal RNA
Source: RNAcentral